UCCCUAUGGGUGCACCAGGCGAGAAAACUUUGCAAUGUGCGAAAGCACGACAAGGUUAAUCCGAGUGGUUUCUGCUAAAGGAACCUUUUGUCGGUCCUAGAAACACCGAUGAAUAAGGGGUGGGCAAGUUCUGGUGUCAGCCGCCGCGGUAAAACCAGCACCUCAAGUGGUCAGGAUGAUUAUUGGGCCUAAAGCAUCCGUAGCCGGCUCUGUAAGUUUUCGGUUAAAUCUGUACGCUCAACGUACAGGCUGCCGGGAAUACUGCAGAGCUAGGGAGUGGGAGAGGUAGACGGUACUCGGUAGGAAGGGGUAAAAUCCUUUGAUCUAUUGAUGACCACCUGUGGCGAAGGCGGUCUACCAGAACACGUCCGACGGUGAGGGAUGAAAGCUGGGGGAGCAAACCGGAUUAGAUACCCGGGUAGUCCCAGCUGUAAACUAUGCAAACUCAGUGAUGCAUUGGCUUGUGGCCAAUGCAGUGCUGCAGGGAAGCCGUUAAGUUUGCCGCCUGGGAAGUACGUACGCAAGUAUGAAACUUAAAGGAAUUGGCGGGGGAGCACCACAAGGGGUGAAGCCUGCGGUUCAAUUGGAUUCAACGCCGGAA
RNAcentral lists this ribosomal RNA (601 nucleotides) under uncultured archaeon. RNAcentral's name for it is "bacterial SSU rRNA". It matches the Rfam family "Archaeal small subunit ribosomal RNA", at positions 319 to 923 of the family's 1478-position model. The record is from RNAcentral.